This 73-nucleotide transfer RNA is filed under the name Sediminibacterium sp. RNAcentral describes it as "tRNA-Phe". It matches the Rfam family "tRNA". From Rfam's summary of the family: Transfer RNA (tRNA) molecules are approximately 80 nucleotides in length. RNAcentral also lists the same sequence under 1 other name. Lineage: Bacteria; Pseudomonadati; Bacteroidota; Chitinophagia; Chitinophagales; Chitinophagaceae. The record is from RNAcentral.
GGUGCCAUAGCUCAGUUGGUAGAGCAAAGGACUGAAAAUCCUUGUGUCCCAGGUUCGAAUCCCGGUGGCACCA